RNAcentral lists this ribosomal RNA (327 nucleotides) under uncultured eukaryote. RNAcentral describes it as "partial 18S ribosomal RNA". It matches the Rfam family "Eukaryotic small subunit ribosomal RNA", at positions 1470 to 1796 of the family's 1831-position model. The record is from RNAcentral.
CCCUUAGAUGUUCUGGGCCGCACACGCGCUACACUGAAGGAGGCAGCGUGUACUCCUGGAUCGAAAGAUUUGGGUAACCCGCGAAUCUCCUUCGUGCUAGGGAUUGAGGUUUGCAAUUAUCCUUCAUGAACGAGGAAUUCCCAGUAAGUGCAAGUCAUAAGCUUGCGCUGACUACGUCCCUGCCCUUUGUACACACCGCCCGUCGCUACUACCGAUUGAAUGAUUUAGUGAGGACUUCGGACUGGGACCGAUGCGGCUUUCGGGCUGCGUCGGUAUUCUGGAAAGAUGUCCAAACUGUAUCAUUUAGAGGAAAUAAAAGUCGUAACA